AUACAUAUAUAUAUAUUCAUAUAUAUAUACAUAUAUAUAUAUUCAUAUAUAUAUACAUAUAUAUAUUCAUAUAUAUAUACACACAUAUAUAUAUAUAUAUAUAUAUAUAUA
RNAcentral lists this microRNA precursor (111 nucleotides) under Mustela putorius furo (domestic ferret). Its description in RNAcentral is "miRNA (ENSMPUG00000023548.1)". Lineage: Eukaryota; Metazoa; Chordata; Mammalia; Carnivora; Mustelidae. The record is from RNAcentral.